This 552-nucleotide ribosomal RNA is filed under the name uncultured bacterium. Its description in RNAcentral is "bacterial SSU rRNA". It matches the Rfam family "Bacterial small subunit ribosomal RNA", at positions 567 to 1116 of the family's 1533-position model. The record is from RNAcentral.
GUGCGUAGGCGGCUUCUUAAGUCUGGUGUGAAAUCUCCCGGCUCAACUGGGAGGGUGCGCCGGAUACUGAGGGGCUAGAGUGUGGGAGAGGAAAGUGGAAUUCCUGGUGUAGCGGUGAAAUGCGUAGAUAUCAGGAGGAACACCGGUGGUGUAAACGGCUUUCUGGACCAUAACUGACGCUGAGGCACGAAAGCGUGGGUAGCAAACAGGAUUAGAUACCCUGGUAGUCCACGCCCUAAACGAUGCAUAUUUGGUGUGGGCCAUUCAUUUGGUCCGUGCCGGAGCUAACGCGUUAAAUAUGCCGCCUGGGGAGUACAGUCGCAAGGCUGAAACUCAAAGGAAUUGACGGGGGCCCGCACAAGCGGUGGAGCAUGUGGUUUAAUUCGACGCAACGCGAAGAACCUUACCUGGGCUCGAAAUGCUGUGGACCAGCCUGUGAAAGCAGGCCUUCCCGCAAGGGGACCGCAGUAUAGGUGCUGCAUGGCUGUCGUCAGCUCGUGUCGUGAGAUGUUGGGUUAAGUCCCGCAACGAGCGCAACCCUUGUCCUGUGUU